This is a long non-coding RNA of Lagopus muta (rock ptarmigan), 555 nucleotides long. RefSeq lists it as uncharacterized. The transcript is spliced from 5 exons. The record is from RefSeq and is a predicted model, not a curated record. Lineage: Eukaryota; Metazoa; Chordata; Aves; Galliformes; Phasianidae.
UCUGACUGCCUUUCAGCACAGGCUGCCUUGUUUGUGUAGGGUAUCCUUUAUACAGAAAGCUCUUUUUCUUUUUAAGCUGAACCAAAGUUUCUCAGGUGAAGGAAGCUGUGAAGUCUGCAGAUUUCAACGUACAAAGGUUAUUGUACCUCCAAUGUUGUUUCUGGGAGAAGACAUCCAGUGUUGCAUCUCUUUCAUUGACCUGUGACUUGAUGUGACAGAAGAACUCACAACAGAGGAUAUUUUCUGGAAUUUCAUGUCUGAGUGCCUCAGAAAUAGAACCAAAAAAAACCAAAAAAACAACUAGUGCUUCACUGCUAACAAGUGGAGAUGACUCACUGCUACUAAAGACUGAUUAUGGGAGGCAGCCUAACAAACAACACCUGUUCCAUAUGAAGAUCAUGUUCUUCAAUGUAGGAGCUAUUGGUUUGAUCUUACUAGAGCUUUUUACCUGGGCACAACUUGGAAUUCAAACCCUGUCAUUAUGGAAUGUUCUCACUGAAGUUAAGCAGAGACAUAUCAAAAGCCUGGUCUGAUUCUGGCUGUGACAAAGGGACA